This 2177-nucleotide ribosomal RNA is filed under the name human gut metagenome. Its description in RNAcentral is "bacterial LSU rRNA". It matches the Rfam family "Bacterial large subunit ribosomal RNA", at positions 317 to 2476 of the family's 2925-position model. The record is from RNAcentral.
UCAAGUAACAAUGAACUGGAACGAUCUGGAAAGUUCGUCCAUAGAGGGUGAAAGGCCCGUACAGGUAAGUUCGUUAUGCGAUAGCAGUAUCCUGAGUAGGGCGGGACACGAGGAAUCCUGUCUGAAUCCGGGUCGACCACGAUCCAACCCUAAAUACUAAUACCAGAUCGAUAGUGCACAAGUACCGUGAGGGAAAGGUGAAAAGAACUGAGGUGAUCAGAGUGAAAUAGAACCUGAAACCAUUUGCUUACAAUCAUUCAGAGCACUAUGUAGCAAUACAGUGUGAUGGACUGCCUUUUGCAUAAUGAGCCUGCGAGUUGUGGUGUCUGGCAAGGUUAAGCAAACGCGAAGCCGUAGCGAAAGCGAGUCUGAAUAGGGCGCUUAGUCAGAUGCUGCAGACCCGAAACGAAGUGAUCUAUCCAUGAGCAAGUUGAAGCUAGUGUAAGAACUAGUGGAGGACUGAACCCAUAGGCGUUGAAAAGCCCCGGGAUGACUUGUGGAUAGGGGUGAAAGGCCAAUCAAACUUCGUGAUAGCUGGUUCUCUCCGAAAUAUAUUUAGGUAUAGCGUUGUGUCGUAAUAUAAGGGGGUAGAGCACUGAAUGGGCUAGGGCAUACACCAAUGUACCAAACCCUAUCAAACUCCGAAUACCUUAUAUGUAAUCACAGCAGUCAGGCGGCGAGUGAUAAAAUCCGUCGUCAAGAGGGAAACAACCCAGACUACCAGCUAAGGUCCCUAAGUCUUACUUAAGUGGAAAACGAUGUGAAGUUACUUAAACAACCAGGAGGUUGGCUUAGAAGCAGCCAUCAUUUAAAGAAAGCGUAAUAGCUCACUGGUCUAGUGAUUUUGCGCGGAAAAUAUAACGGGGCUAAAGUAAGUACCGAAGCUGUAGACUUAGUUUACUAAGUGGUAGGAGAGCGUUCUAUUUGCGUCGAAGGUAUACCGGUAAGGAGUGCUGGAGCGAAUAGAAGUGAGCAUGCAGGCAUGAGUAGCGAUAAUUAAUGUGAGAAUCAUUAACGCCGUAAACCCAAGGUUUCCUACGCGAUGCUCGUCAUCGUAGGGUUAGUCGGGUCCUAAGUCGAGUCCGAAAGGGGUAGACGAUGGCAAAUUGGUUAAUAUUCCAAUACCAACAUUAGUGUGCGAUGGAAGGACGCUUAGGGCUAAGGGGGCUAGCGGAUGGAAGUGCUAGUCUAAGGUCGUAGGAGGUUAUACAGGCAAAUCCGUAUAACAAUACUCCGAGAACUGAAAGGCUUUUUGAAGUCUUCGGAUGGAUAGAAGAACCCCUGAUGCCGUCGAGCCAAGAAAAGUUUCUAAGUUUAGCUAAUGUUGCCCGUACCGUAAACCGACACAGGUGGGUGGGAUGAGUAUUCUAAGGCGCGUGGAAGAACUCUCUUUAAGGAACUCUGCAAAAUAGCACCGUAUCUUCGGUAUAAGGUGUGGUUAGCUUUGUAUUAGGAUUUACUCCGAAAGCAAGGAAACUUACAACAAAGAGUCCCUCCCGACUGUUUACCAAAAACACAGCACUCUGCUAACUCGUAAGAGGAUGUAUAGGGUGUGACGCCUGCCCGGUGCUCGAAGGUUAAUUGAUGGGGUUAGCAUUAGCGAAGCUCUUGAUCGAAGCCCGAGUAAACGGCGGCCGUAACUAUAACGGUCCUAAGGUAGCGAAAUUCCUUGUCGGUUAAAUACCGACCUGCAUGAAUGGCGUAACGAGAUGGGAGCUGUCUCAAAGAGGGAUCCAGUGAAAUUGUAGUGGAGGUGAAAAUUCCUCCUACCCGCGGCAAGACGGAAAGACCCCGUGGACCUUUACUACAGCUUGACACUGCUACUUGGAUAAGAAUGUGCAGGAUAGGUGGGAGGCUUUGAGUAUAUGACGCCAGUUGUAUAUGAGCCAUUGUUGAGAUACCACUCUUUCUUAUUUGGGUAGCUAACCAGCUUGAGUUAUCCUCAAGUGGGACAAUGUCUGGUGGGUAGUUUGACUGGGGCGGUCGCCUCCCAAAUAAUAACGGAGGCUUACAAAGGUUGGCUCAGAACGGUUGGAAAUCGUUCGUAGAGUAUAAAGGUAUAAGCCAGCUUAACUGCAAGACAUACAAGUCAAGCAGAGACGAAAGUCGGUCUUAGUGAUCCGGUGGUUCUGUGUGGAAGGGCCAUCGCUCAAAGGAUAAAAGGUACUCCGGGGAUA